CGCAUAUGCCCAUGAGAACACAGAUAAGCAUUACAAGACUAAGGACACACCUUGGUCCAUAUACUCUCAAAGAGCUUAUCCAGCUCAGUGUAGUUGGAGUUGUUUAAGCCACUGAAAUAAUCGGUCACAGUGCAACAAUUAGCAGUAUACAAAAUAAUGUUUUUCUAUAUAGUGUAAACAAAAGAUGUCUAUGUCUGACAGUGAAAUAAGUAAACACAAAUAAAAGCAUUAUUUUAUAUCAAGCAGGAACAAAUGAUUCCAGGUAGUAGAAGACACCAACGGCCUUAUUGAUACAUUAUUCCAAUGGGCCAAACGAUGAGUAAAUGACAAUAGUAAGAAGGUUAGGUAAGGUUCUGCUUCAGAUGAUUCAUACCAGUGGGAUGCAAUGUUAAUGAUGAUAAGAACCUUCCCCUUACUUGUAGGUGGUGAGGUCUACGACCGCUCGCAUCCUGCACAUGAGUAGCAAGAAAAAAACAACAAUUAGACUCCUACAAAAACAAAUCCGCUAGGUAAUGGUUAGCAAAUUCAGUCGUUUUGCAAGCCAAUUAAAUUAAUCGACACCAAAAUUCACACUAAGCUCCACACGAAUCAGGAACCACUAAAAGCACCAAGCCUGGACUUAUUAGCACAACACAACGAUCUCGGGCUUGCAGCUGCAGGGCACGCCGCACGCAAAGCAAGCGCUCCAUGCGAAAUAUUUUGGUCCUAUGAUCCUAUUAGUAUAUCACCUCUGGAAUCUACGCAUAGAGACGUUCGAGGGUUGAGAGGGCGACAGGGGGGAAUGGGACUGACCUUGACGACGAAAUCGUGGACAGAGGUGGCGGUUGAGGAGGCGGGCGGGCCUAAUCCGGGUCACUCUUGCGUGUGCGAGCAAAUAGACCGGAUGGGAUCGGAGCCACAAUUCCAGCGAGAUCGACGGGGCUCCGCGGUUGAUGGGGCGGAGACGUCGUCCUCGACGAUCGCGGGGGCUGCGCUUCCGCCGGCGAAUCCGACAUCCAGGGACGUCUUAGGUGAGCGUGUCCGUCGCAGUGAAGACAUACGUCGUGGAGGAUUUGGCGGCAACCUCGUCGUUGGCGGCCUCGGCGGCGGCAGUCGCCUUGUCGUAGGCGCGUCCAGGCGGGGGGAGCUCGAAUGUUUGAUGGGACGGUUCACGGGGCCAGGGGUUGGACAGUGAAAGACACGAGGGACUGCGACUACGUUUUCGCGUGAGAGUACGUGCGUGGAG
This 1225-nucleotide long non-coding RNA is filed under the name Zea mays. RNAcentral's name for it is "long non-coding RNA (ZMAY_LNC004487)". The record is from RNAcentral. Lineage: Eukaryota; Viridiplantae; Streptophyta; Magnoliopsida; Poales; Poaceae.